This is a ribosomal RNA of Chlorocebus sabaeus (green monkey), 119 nucleotides long. NCBI's taxonomy places the organism in Eukaryota, Metazoa, Chordata, Mammalia, Primates, Cercopithecidae. The record is from Ensembl.
GUCUAUGGCUAUACCACCCUGAACAUGCCGGAUCUCAUCUGAUCUCAGAAGCUAAGCAGGGUGGGGCCUGGUUAGUACUUGGAUGGAACACUGCCUGGGAAUACCAGGUGCUGUAAGCU